GGUGCACCCAUCACAACAGCUGAUAGGUGCAGGGCCCAUGGGUGCACCCAGGGCAGUGCCCAGAGCGUGCUUGGCCAGCACCCAUCUCUGGGUGCACCCGUGCCUGUCGUUGGCACACUGGAGCAGGGGGAGCCUGGAGUGGGGCAGUGGGAAGCCUCCGGUGCAUGUCCGGCCCCAGGGUCGCCCCGGGUGCACAGGAAGAGCUGGGUGCUAUCAGCACCCACCAGCCCUGGCCACAGAGUCGGGUGCCGGAAACCACUGGGGUGGCUGAGUCCUGACUUAGUGCACUGGCGCCUGCCCAAACCUUCACCCCGCUGGGACUGGCCAGCCCCUGGUGAUACCAAAGUGACAGCAGGGUGCUGGGAGGCGGCUGAUGCCAGUAACACCAAGCUGACACCAGGGUGCUGGGACACCCCUAACACCAAAUGGACACCAAGGUGCUGGGAGCCAGGGUGCUACACCCAGUGUGGGUGCUGCUUCACCCAGCUGCAGACGCAUGCUGGCAUCCACGGGGACGAGAGUACCCAUUCGCUUGCACCCAGUGUGGGUGCCGCUACAGCCGCAGCUCCAACCUUCCGCGGCACCAGCACGUCCACGCCGCUGCCUGAUGCCGCUUAUUCUCUUACAGGCGCGCUCUGUGCUGCUGCAGAGCCCAGAGCAACUCAUGACACGAGUGGGCCGCAGGGACGCCGUCGCCCCAGCGCACGCUGACGCCAGCCUCGAAGCUUUUAUUGCGGCAAGACGGGCACUGCAAGAUUCCUUUUAAAUAAUAAUAAUAAUAACAACAACAACAAUAAAAAAUAUACAGCAGUCGUUUUCUCCCUCGAA
RNAcentral lists this long non-coding RNA (828 nucleotides) under Struthio camelus australis. RNAcentral's name for it is "lncRNA (ENSSCUG00000002574.1)". The record is from RNAcentral. Lineage: Eukaryota; Metazoa; Chordata; Aves; Struthioniformes; Struthionidae.